RNAcentral lists this ribosomal RNA (115 nucleotides) under Sarcophaga crassipalpis. RNAcentral's name for it is "partial 5.8S ribosomal RNA". RNAcentral also lists the same sequence under 9 other names. The record is from RNAcentral. Lineage: Eukaryota; Metazoa; Arthropoda; Insecta; Diptera; Sarcophagidae.
UGUGAACUGCAGGACACAUGAACAUCGACAUUUUGAACGCAUAUCGCAGUCCAUGCUGUUAUGUACUUUAAUUUUUAAUUAGAGUGCUGCUUGGACUACAUAUGGUUGAGGGUUG